ACCCUCGUGGAUCAAUGGGAGAUCCUCUGCGAACGAUGUCGAACCAUCAAUGUUCAGCGGGACGUUGUGGGUUCGACUCCCACCGAGGGCA
Non-coding RNA from Mycena maculata, 91 nucleotides. NCBI's taxonomy places the organism in Eukaryota, Fungi, Basidiomycota, Agaricomycetes, Agaricales, Mycenaceae. The record is from the annotation of a GenBank genome assembly.